UUUAUUUUGAGAGUUUGAUCCUGGCUCAGGAUGAACGCUGGCGGCGUGCUUAACACAUGCAAGUCGAGCGAAGCACUUAAGAAAGAUUCUUCGGAUG
This 97-nucleotide ribosomal RNA is filed under the name Jingyaoa shaoxingensis. Its description in RNAcentral is "partial 16S ribosomal RNA". It matches the Rfam family "Bacterial small subunit ribosomal RNA", at positions 1 to 93 of the family's 1533-position model. The record is from RNAcentral. Lineage: Bacteria; Bacillati; Bacillota; Clostridia; Lachnospirales; Lachnospiraceae.